AGACAACAGUCAUUUUGUAUGCUGGUAAAAGUAAAUAUUGGGGUGAAAAUGACAUAAAAAUCUUGAGAAAACCGUCACACAUAGAGGAAAAUGAAAUGCCAGGUGAAAUGCAGCAGGAUAACAAACUCCCCAGUACAGAUCACCUGUCUAACCCAGGAAGAAGUACAGUGCCGCAUACAAAAAAUUUAAAUAGGCAAAUCACCAAGUUCAGAUGGUAUCCACCCACCUGAUCUAAGAGAGGGUCCGCAUUGAAGAUUGAACAGGAGUAAGCAAUGAGGAAAAGUCCUUAUGUAGUGAGGGCCGAAGCAAUUGGAGCAUAUCCUUUAAGGCAUUUUCAGAUACCGUUUUAUCAGUGGUCUGGUAUAGGGCAAACAUGUCUCCUGCGCCCACCUGGCUAGACUGCUCUCCCUCAGCACCUGCCGCCCAGUCAUCAGCCUUUGCCGCCCAGUCAUCAGCCUUUGCAGAGUUCAACUACCGCCAAUUUUUUGGAUAUCCAGAUGCACCGACAAUCAGAUGGACACAUCGCUACAGAUAUUGAUAGAAAGGAAACCUCUACAAAUUCGCUGCUUCAUGCCACCUCAUCCCAUAUGCCAUCUACGAUCAGAGCAGUGCCCAUAGGUUUGACCUCUAGACAACUGCGCACCCGAGUCCGAGAACAUGUGAGGGACAUUAUCUCUGCCAAGAACUGUGUUGAUACUAUGAGCUUAAAAACCCUGCCAAGACACUUUAAGGAGAAACACGGAUGUGACCCCUCUGGAUUAAAAAUAUACCUUUGUACACAUGGCAUUAUAAGGCACACCGUUACCCUGUGAUAUGAGUCUCGCAUCUCAGUAUGAAAGAUACAAAUUAUUGAAAGAAGUAUGGACUACUUGAAGACCACUAAAUGAACCAUGGUAGUCAGACUGUGUUAAAGGAAAAAGGAAAAAAUUGGACAAUAUGGUAGUGAAAGGAAUUGUAGCGGGGUUUUGGAUUUUUUGGGAUUUUUCCCUAGUAAGUGCCACAUUGGUGGCUGUAUACAAUUUGACAGCUGCUGUGGUCUACUGGAGUUUUAUUCAAAUAUUGGGGCAUAAUUCUGUAUUUUUUUGUCAUUAAUAUAGAUUUGGCAUUCACUUUAUAGAUGUGGUUUUAUCAACACCUUUUUUGUAUCGGGAUAUUGGGUAAUAUCCCUUGUAUUUUCUUAUAUAUUGGGUAACUGGGUUACAUUGUCAAAUUAAUAUGCACUUUAAUCAUACUGUUUAAUGGGGAUUUGCCAGUAAUUAAUACUGACAUGAUAUACAUAUAUAUUUGCACUGUAUGCACAGCACUUUAUUUAUUCUUGUAAUAUGUUAUAUUUAUAUAUAUAAUAUUUUUUUCCUUUUGUUAUAUGUUAUCUUGAUAUGCACUUAUAAUAUAGCACGAUUUAUUUUUGCAUUGGGUUAAUACUGCACUGGGUCUAUUUACUCCAUAUAUGUCCUUACUUGUAUACUAUUGUCAAGUCUGUCCCAUGGAUUCAUGCAGAUGUCUGCACUGAGUAUUUCGUACGGCUGUGUUGGUUCAGUGCGCAUGCGAGGCAUGUCGAUAUCCGAGAUACCGCCCUUCCGACAUGACCGUGGCCGUAGUGCGCAUGUCCGGAAGCUUACUGCUUUCGGGCAUGCGCAUAGUGGUGUGGACGCCGGAAGUGGGGCGGUUGUUUACAUCCGGAAGACUACUAUCGCAUGCACCAAAAGAAUCAUCCACAGCUGUAAUUAAUUGUAAGUAAUAGCGAGCACUAUAAAGAUUGUGGUGCGGUGUUGUUCAGCAGUACCUCUUGAUAAAGGGAAACCGAAACGAUCGUAGGGGUCAGGGCUCUGCAGCUCAAUAUGGGUAAGUUUACCAUAUGCACUUUAUUUGACCAGUCUCUGUGUCUCUCUGCAGUCUGCAUGGAUCCAUAGAUAAAUGCUUGUGCUACUAUUAUAUUGUCAUACUAUUAUUGCGCAAUAUUUUAUCUUUGUAUGUAUAUGCACAUUUGGGUUGCAACUUACUUUGGCACUUUUUUGCACUAAUUUAUAUUCAAUAAUACCCACAAUUGUGGUCAGUGUAUAUUAUAAAUACCGUAUAUAGAGCACUUUAGUAGUAAUAAUUUAUGUGCAGUGCAGUUCUCUUAGAGACUGAGAUACCAUACUGAUUACUUUUUACAUGAUAUUAUAUGAUAGCCCAUUGUAGCUGGCAGUAGCCCUAUUCUUUUGUACUGGAAUCUAACCUUAAUCCCAUCUCCAAUUAUUGGCGUCUGUUUACAUUGUUUUUUAAA
Molecule: long non-coding RNA, 2266 nt
Organism: Hyla sarda
Lineage: Eukaryota; Metazoa; Chordata; Amphibia; Anura; Hylidae
Exons: 6
Source: RefSeq, a predicted model, not a curated record